Molecule: long non-coding RNA, 2403 nt
Organism: Lolium perenne
Lineage: Eukaryota; Viridiplantae; Streptophyta; Magnoliopsida; Poales; Poaceae
Source: RefSeq, a predicted model, not a curated record
GGCCCAAACCACCUCUGGCCUGAUACCUUUUCGCGUGGAGACGCUCUGCUGUCGUCUUCUCCCCCUCACGUUGGCAGCGUGAGCUCUUUUCCCUCUGCCAUGGACCACCGCACAUGGUCCUCCUCUCCCAACCACCGCGGCCACCUCGCCUCACCUGCCCCCCUUCUUAUCCCCUCGCAUCUGCAAACCCUAGCAUCCUCCCUCUACCCGCCGCCACUACCUCCUCUUCUCCCCAUCGUUUUCCUCACCUCUCUGUAAGCAAACGAAGGAGGAAACGAACCCACAGCACCUCCUCCACCUCGCCAUGGCGCCGCCUCUAUAGACCAUCCCCCGCCGUUCCGAGGGCACCGGCAGAUGCGCCUCGUCGUCCUCUCCAUCCUUCCCAAAGGAAUCGAUCUGGGAGGCUUUCAAUGGUUCCCAAAUUCGCCGUUCCCCACUCCUACCGGCCGAACUCCGGCGUCAAUUCCGGCCACCCUCGUCCUCCUCCGACCAAACCGAGCCCACCUUCAUCUUGCUGGUUCCCGUCGCCGGCGAGCUGUCGGUGAUGCUUCGGCUCCACAAGCACCACGUUCUGGUUCACCAAGUUCCCCCGCAUCUAGUGCACCAUCUCGUGCGUCCUGGCUCGCCCUAAGUCGCCAGAUUCGUCCUCGGCCAGAUCUCCGUCCGCCAUGGCUUCUCCGUCCCGAGCUCCGCUCCUGUAUGGUUCAAGUUGUCCCGCGCCCUAUUCUUGACACGAUCCGAAACAGUGGCACAGUGAUCCGGCGUCUACUGGGCCUUGGCCCAUUUCUCUCCCGGUGUAGCCAUCGCCCACGCGCAGCAGCCCGCUAACCAUCGCCUCUCGCGGGCCAGAGCUGCAUUUGCUUCUUCACGGUUAGGAUCACGAAGUGAUGUUGUGAGAUACGACAAGUUCUUCUGCAGCUUUUCACAGGCGAGCCCACCCCUUCACCUAUUUUACUUUUACAUGCUCUUUUGAUCUAUUGCUAUCCUUAUGUUGUGAUUCUGUUGUGUCAUGUGUCCUAUCCACCUGUUACCUAUAUGUCUGAGAUACACCUCCUCGCCCUACCUAUUGUUUGUUGUUUGCCAGCUUUGCGAGUCGUAGGCGAGUUUAGGGUCUUGUUGAUAUCUCGAGAUGUUCGGGAUAUCUUGUUGGGAAGUUGACACAUGUACCACCUUUUGAAAAUGAUGCGACAACUAAAAUUGCUAAGGGAUAAUAACAUUGCAGAGGCAUCUGUGAGCCCCUUUGCGAAAGCAUCGGAACUUUGACUCGCUAAUGUCCCCUAGGACCCGAGUUCUUGUUAUCUGUUCCGAGAUUGAGCGCUCUACACGUACGUGGGGGAGUGGGACCCCCAUCACCCACUACCUUUCCUCGAGUCUGUUUAUUGGGAGCCACAACCUUGGUUUUUUUUUGCUCAUAUGCACGAUGCACGAUUUACUUCUGUUGCCUUCGGGUGUUUAUAUUCUGUUAUGUACUCAUAUCGUGGAACGAUUAGCGACAGCAGGUUGUUCACACUUAGCUUAGCCGUUGUCACAAACCUCUGGGUCCGUAUCGGAGUACGGCCGAACUUCAUCACGGGUAGCUUAGUUGGGUGGCUCCCAUUAAACUUUCUCUUGCAUUGGGAACGGUCUUGAUGUGAGACUCCACCUGUAGUAAGCGGGUUCGAGCAUGCGUAUGGUUACAUUUGGGCAACCCCUGCAGGGUGUACAUCUUAUCGAUAAGCCGUGUCCGCGGUUAUGGACGACUUGGAAUUGUAUAGCUUGAUCAUAGAACAACUUGCACUGUUAUCUUGUUGCUAAUAAUUUGAUAAUAACUUGCGUAGCAAUAUUGCAUUAUUACAACCAACAUAUAAUAAAAUUGUCAACAGUGGAGUGCCUUUUACAUUGCCUCUUCGCCUUGUUGAAGGGGAUAUGUGUAUUUGGCUGGGUUAUGUUUGUGUAGUAUUUAUCUGUUACCUUGUGCGCUCUCUUAUCUUCUCUGAGUAGACGGAUGUUGUAGCGUGUCUCUAUUGGAUAGUAGCUUUGCUGCCGCUAAACUCCACAUAUAGCCGGGUGAAGUUUAUACCGCCCACCAGCGAGCAUAGCUGGUCUUGUCUCGCAAGUACGUGCCAAUGGUACUUACCCUCGCCUUCCUUUCUUUUUGUCUCCUCCCCCUUUUGUCGGCAACCGAUGGCCCGACUUUGACAGUACGAGAUGACGACGUUAGCAAGGUUACCCUUCCGGCUUGGCCUGGGCAGGGUUAUGGACGCUACUGGUUAUCUUCAGGACUCUUAGUCCGAUUUGUAUCUUGUCCGUACUCGGACGUAUUUGAUCUUCUGUAUGAUUUGGAUCUUUGUAUUGUGUAUUUGUAUCUUGACUCGUUGGAGUCGUUGUUGUAAUAUAUGUUUCUUGUGGGCUCUAUUGUAAUCC